GAUGUAAGGCAGUUUUUCCCAACCCCGGUCCUCCGGUUCCCUCGACAGCACAGCGUUUCCCAAUCCCGGUCCUCCAGUUCCCUCGACAGCACAGCGUUUCCCAACCCCGGUCCUCCAGUUCCCUCGACAGCACAGCGUUUCCCAACCCCGGUCCUCCAGGUUCCCUCGACAGCACAGCGUUUCCCAAACCCGGUCCUCCAGGUUCCCUCGACAGCACAGCGUUUCCCAACCCCGGUCCUCCGGUUCCCUCGACAGCACAGCGUUUCCCAACCCCGGUCCUCCGGUUCCCUCGGCAGCACAGCGUUUCCCAACCCCGGUCCUCCGGUCCCCUCGGCAGCACAGCGUUUCCCAACCCCGGUCCUCCGGUCCCCUCGGCAGCACAGCGUUUCCCAACCCCGGUCCUCCGGUUCCCUCGGCAGCACAGCGUUUCCCAACCCCGGUCCUCCGGUUCCCUCGGCAGCACAGCGUUUCCCAACCCCGGUCCUCCGGUUCCCUCGGCAGCACAGCGUUUCCCAACCCCGGUCCUCCGGUUCCCUCGGCAGCACAGCGUUUCCCAACCCCGGUCCUCCGGUUCCCUCGGCAGCACAGCGUUUCCCAACCCCGGUCCUCCGGUUCCCUCGGCAGCACAGAGUUUCCCAAGCCCAGUCCUCCAGUACCUCCACAGCACAGUGUUUCCCAACCCUGGUCCUCCAGUUCCCUCCACAGCACAGCGUUUCCCAACCCCGGUCCUCCGGUUCCCUCCACAGCACAGCGUUUCUCAACCCCGGAUCUCCAGUUCCCUCGGCAGCACAGUGUUUCCCAACCCCGGUCCUCCAGUACCUCCACAGCACAGUGUUUCCCAACCCCGGUCCUCCGGUUCCCUCGGCAGCACAGUGUUUCCCAACCCCGGUCCUCCGGUUCCCUCCACAGCACAGCGUUUCUCAACCCCGGAUCUCCAGUUCCCUCCACAGCACAGCGUUUCCCAACCCCGGUCCUCCGGUUCCCUCCACAGCACAGCGUUUCUCAACCCCGGAUCUCCAGUUCCCUCGGCAGCACAGUGUUUCCCAACCCCGGUCCUCCGGUUCCCUCCACAGCACAGCGUUUCCCAACCCCGGUCCUCCAGUACCUCCACAGCACAGUGUUUCCCAACCCCGGUCCUCCGGUUCCCUCGGCAGCACAGUGUUUCCCAACCCUGGUCCUCCAGUACCUCCACAGCACACAUUUUUAUUCCAACGCUGGACAAGCAUACCUGAUUCAACUUCUCAACUAAUCAUCAAGCCCUCAAUGUGUUGA
RNAcentral lists this long non-coding RNA (1272 nucleotides) under Salmo trutta (river trout). RNAcentral describes it as "lncRNA (ENSSTUG00000009338.1)". The record is from RNAcentral. Lineage: Eukaryota; Metazoa; Chordata; Actinopteri; Salmoniformes; Salmonidae.